Molecule: long non-coding RNA, 873 nt
Organism: Galeopterus variegatus (Sunda flying lemur)
Lineage: Eukaryota; Metazoa; Chordata; Mammalia; Dermoptera; Cynocephalidae
Exons: 7
Source: RefSeq, a predicted model, not a curated record
GCGGCCCCGAGCACUCCGCCAUCUUUUGUGUGGGGGUUCCGGGUGCUGUCGCUCUUCACAAUGCUGCUCCUCAGGUCCUGGUGUUGGAUUGUCGGUCCCUGAAGGAGCUGUGACAGAGUUUGAAGGAGGGCGCCCUAUGAAUAGGAAGAGGAAUCCCACCUGGGAGAAGAUCGUUGUGGCCAGAACCCUCUCAGGACUGCUUCAGAGCAGAGAUGACCGGAGAGGGGAUCUGAACCCUUGGCCUUGGUUUCAGCACCACACUCUCCCAAGUGGGCCAUGGGCUGGCCCCAUAAUGUACAUUUUUUACCUAGAUGAUCCUAAUGUGUUGAGAGUUUUGGUCAGGAGAAUCUGGGGUCGAGCCACAACAGUUCUCUCCUUAAUCCACUCCAUUCCCUCCUCUCCCAGCUAAGCUGCCAGAGUGCACUGUGCAUUUCCAAGAGCAAGAAAAGGUGGAUAAAUCUCUGCCUUAAAUGCAAACAUGAUGUCUGGAGCUCUAGCAGCCACCUCGAGACCAUGAGACAACCAAUACGAGGGAAAUGCUAGAAGAUCACAGGAUUUCCUGACACCAUUCAGUCUCUAACUAAAUGCAAGCAGCAAUGUUUCCCUGGAUAUAUGCUCCACACACCCUUUCCACCUUGGCUCCCAUCCUCAUCCCCCAGUCACUCCGCCCAUCACUCUCUUGCAGUGGUCAGAGGACAAAGCACUGUUUAAUUCCCAGGUCCUCCCAUGGAAUGAAUUCAGAAGAAAUCACCCUCCAGAGAAGAGCAGAAAGGAGCAAAGGAUGGACAGUGCUGAGGGUCAAAUGUGUCCCUCAAAAGUUCAUGUAUUGGAAACUCGAUCUCCAUUGUAACAGUGUUAAGAGGUUGGAAAAUC